GUGCUCGCUUCGGCAGCACAUAUACUAAAAUUGGAACCAUACAGAGAAGAUUAGCAUGGCCCCUGCACAAGGAUGACACGCAAAUUCGUGAAGCAUUCCAUAUUUAA
Molecule: small nuclear RNA, 107 nt
Filed under: Bison bison bison
Lineage: Eukaryota; Metazoa; Chordata; Mammalia; Artiodactyla; Bovidae
Source: RNAcentral